CAAGUCGAACGAGAAAGUGGAGCAAUCCAUGAGUAAAGUGGCGUACGGGUGAGUAACACGUGGAUAACCUGCCCUUUAGUGGGGAAUACCGCUGGGAAACCGGCGACAAUACCGCAUAAUCCCGAGAGGGGAAAGCAAUUAAAUGCGCUGAAGGAGGGGUCCGCGGUCGAUUAGCUAGUUGGUGAGGUAAUGGCUCACCAAGGCUGUGAUCGAUAGCCGGCCUGAGAGGGCACACGGCCACACUGGCACUGAAACACGGGCCAGACUCCUACGGGAGGCAGCAGUGGGGAAUCUUGCACAAUGGGGGCAACCCUGAUGCAGCGACGCCGCGUGAGCGAUGAAGCCCUUCGGGGUGUAAAGCUCUUUCGGCAGGGAAGAUUAUGACGGUACCUGCAGAAGCAGCUGCGGCUAACUACGUGCCAGCAGCCGCGGUAAUACGUAGGCAGCAAGCGUUGUUCGGAGUUACUGGGCGUAAAGGGUGUGUAGGCGGCUCUAUAAGUAUGGUGUGAAAUCUCCCGGCUUAACCGGGAGGGUGCGCUAUAGACUGUGGGGCUAGAGUGUGGGAGAGGAAAGUGGAAUUCCUGGUGUAGCGGUGAAAUGCGUAGAUAUCAGGAGGAACACCGGUGGUGUAAACGGCUUUCUGGACCAUAACUGACGCUGAGACACGAAAGCGUGGGUAGCAAACAGGAUUAGAUACCCUGGUAGUCCACGCCCUAAACGAUGCAUAUUUGGUGUGGGCCAUUCAUUUGGUCUGUGCCGGAGCUAACGCGUUAAAUAUGCCGCCUGGGGAGUACAGUCGCAAGGCUGAAACUCAAAGGAAUUGACGGGGGCCC
RNAcentral lists this ribosomal RNA (833 nucleotides) under uncultured Bacillota bacterium. Its description in RNAcentral is "bacterial SSU rRNA". It matches the Rfam family "Bacterial small subunit ribosomal RNA", at positions 58 to 922 of the family's 1533-position model. Lineage: Bacteria; Bacillati; Bacillota. The record is from RNAcentral.